GACGUAGGGCGCGAGCGUUGUCCGGAUUUAUUGGGCGUAAAGAGCUCGUAGGCGGUCUGUCGCGUCUGCUGUGAAAACUCGGGGCUUAACCCCGGGCCUGCAGUGGGUACGGGCAGACUAGAGUGCGGUAGGGGAGACUGGAAUUCCUGGUGUAGCGGUGAAAUGCGCAGAUAUCAGGAGGAACACCGGUGGCGAAGGCGGGUCUCUGGGCCGUAACUGACGCCUGGAGGAGCGAAAGCGUGGGGAGCGAACAGG
RNAcentral lists this ribosomal RNA (255 nucleotides) under uncultured bacterium. RNAcentral's name for it is "partial 16S ribosomal RNA". It matches the Rfam family "Bacterial small subunit ribosomal RNA", at positions 524 to 776 of the family's 1533-position model. The record is from RNAcentral.